Molecule: ribosomal RNA, 812 nt
Filed under: uncultured bacterium
Lineage: Bacteria
Description: bacterial SSU rRNA
Rfam family: Bacterial small subunit ribosomal RNA
Source: RNAcentral
UUAACACAUGCAAGUCGAGGGGAAACGACAUCGAAAGCUUGCUUUUGAUGGGCGUCGACCGGCGCACGGGUGAGUAACGCGUAUCCAACCUGCCCACCACUUGGGAAUAACCUUGCGAAAGUAAGACUAAUACCCAAUGAUAUCUCUAGAAGGCAUCAGAAAGAGAUUAAAGAUUUAUCGGUGAUGGAUGGGGAUGCGUCUGAUUAGCUUGUUGGCGGGGUAACGGCCCACCAAGGCUACGAUCAGUAGGGGUUCUGAGAGGAAGGUCCCCCACAUUGGAACUGAGACACGGUCCAAACUCCUACGGGAGGCAGCAGUGAGGAAUAUUGGUCAAUGGACGAGAGUCUGAACCAGCCAAGUAGCGUGCAGGAUGACGGCCCUAUGGGUUGUAAACUGCUUUUAUAAGGGAAUAAAGUGAGUCUCGUGAGGCUUUUUGCAUGUACCUUAUGAAUAAGGACCGGCUAAUUCCGUGCCAGCAGCCGCGGUAAUACGGAAGGUCCGGGCGUUAUCCGGAUUUAUUGGGUUUAAAGGGAGCGUAGGCCGGAGAUUAAGUUCGUUGUGAAAUGUAGACGCUCAACGUCUGCACUGCAGCGCGAACUGGUUUCCUUGAGUACGCACAAAGUGGGCGGAAUUCGUGGUGUAGCGGUGAAAUGCUUAGAUAUCACGAAGAACUCCGAUUGCGAAGGCAGCUCACUGGAGCGCAACUGACGUUGAAGCUCGAAAGCGCGGGUAUCGAACAGGAUUAGAUACCCUGGUAGUCCGCACGGUAAACGAUCGAUGCCCGCUGUUGGUUUGCAUUGGUCAGCGGCCAA